ACUACGGGAGGCAGCAGUGAGGAAUAUUGGUCAAUGGGCGGAAGCCUGAACCAGCCAAGUAGCGUGCGGGAUGAAGGCCCUACGGGUCGUAAACCGCUUUUGCACGGGGAUAACACCCUCCACUUGUGGAGGUCUGCAGGUACCGUGCGAAUAAGGGCCGGCUAAUUCCGUGCCAGCAGCCGCGGUAAUACGGAAGGCCCGAGCGUUAUCCGGAUUCAUUGGGCUUAAAGGGAGCGUAGGCGGGCGUGCAAGUCAGCGGUAAAAUCGCGGGGCUCAACCGCGCCCCGCAGUUGAAACUGGACGCGUUGAGUUAACAACAGGCAGGCGGAAUUCGUGGUGUAGCGGUGAAAUGCAUAGAUAUCACGAGGAACCCCGAUUGCGAAGGCAGCCUGCCGGGGUGCGACUGACGCUGAGGCUCGAAGGUGCGGGUAUCAAACAGGAGUAGAUACCCGUGUAGUC
Molecule: ribosomal RNA, 459 nt
Filed under: uncultured bacterium
Lineage: Bacteria
Description: partial 16S ribosomal RNA
Rfam family: Bacterial small subunit ribosomal RNA
Source: RNAcentral